RNAcentral lists this ribosomal RNA (258 nucleotides) under uncultured bacterium. Its description in RNAcentral is "partial 16S ribosomal RNA". It matches the Rfam family "Bacterial small subunit ribosomal RNA", at positions 15 to 265 of the family's 1533-position model. The record is from RNAcentral.
GAUCAUGGCUCAGGACGAACGCUGGCGGCGUGCUUAACACAUGCAAGUCGAACGAGAAAGGCUCUUCGGAGCUGAGUACAGUGGCGAACGGGUGAGUAACACGUGGGCAACCUGCCCUAGGGAGCGGGACAACCCGAGGAAACUCGGGCUAAUACCGCAUGAUUCGUACGGUCCUAAGUCCGUACGGGAAAUGGUAGCUUCGGCCUCCGCCCUGGGAUGGGCCCGCGGCGCAUUAGCUUGUUGGUGUAGGUAACGGCU